GCUGGGCGUGGUGGCGCACGCCUGUAGUCCCAGCUACUCAGGAGGCUGAGGCAGGAGAAUUGCUUGAACCCAGGGAGCAGAGGCUGUAGUGAGCUGAGAUCAUGCCACUGAACUCCAGCCUGGGUGACAAAACAAGACUCUGUCUCAA
This 148-nucleotide signal recognition particle RNA is filed under the name Pan troglodytes (chimpanzee). RNAcentral's name for it is "Metazoan signal recognition particle RNA". It matches the Rfam family "Metazoan signal recognition particle RNA". From Rfam's summary of the family: The signal recognition particle (SRP) is a universally conserved ribonucleoprotein. It is involved in the co-translational targeting of proteins to membranes. The eukaryotic SRP consists of a 300-nucleotide 7S RNA and six proteins: SRPs 72, 68, 54, 19, 14, and 9. Lineage: Eukaryota; Metazoa; Chordata; Mammalia; Primates; Hominidae. The record is from Rfam by way of RNAcentral.